This is a long non-coding RNA of Penaeus chinensis, 1407 nucleotides long. RefSeq lists it as uncharacterized. The transcript is spliced from 4 exons. The record is from RefSeq and is a predicted model, not a curated record. NCBI's taxonomy places the organism in Eukaryota, Metazoa, Arthropoda, Malacostraca, Decapoda, Penaeidae.
AAGGGCUUCCCUAAUAGGAUGCAAUACUCUGACUUCAAACAUUGGUAAGUCUCAUGGUAAAGGGACGAAAUACAUUCAUGAUGAUUUAAAGUACGUGUAUUUAGUAAUUAUAAUGGCUGCACUUGCUUGUUUCUAAAGCUACAAGCUACUGACGCCAUAGCCUCAGAAGAGGAUGACAAGAAGGAAGCAGAAAUGACAUUCCAGAAAGCUGGGCUAGAUAAGGAGCUGUAUAGGUGCAGUAAGACAAAGAUAUUUUUUAUACCUAAUAUUUUGAUAAACGGAUAGUUUGUGUUUAUAUUUCUUUAUAAUACCUAUAAUACUCAACAUUUCUACACAGGUAUUCAUCUGUGCUGGUGUCUUGGGUACCAUGGAAGAACUUCGUAAUGAACUUUUGGCUAAGGUCAUCACUUGGAUGCAGUCAUGGAUCCGUGGUCUGAUUGGACGUCUUCAAGAACAACGUGUUUCCCUCGUAGUUCUGCAGAGGAACAUUCGGAAGUUUAUAGAUAUGAGCAACAUCUUUUGGCAUAAGGCGUAGCCUCUCAUCUACCAGCCUAGGAUUGAAGAUAAGAUCAACAAGCUUAAGGACAAGGCUGGGAAAGCUGUUUCAGCCUUGGAUUGCAAAUCUACAUGCCGCAAGGAGCUGGAGGAAUCCAAUGCAAAUCUUGUUGAAGGACUGAAUGAACUGAAGGUUACCCUCGAAUCCACAUAGAGCAACGUUUCGAAAUUCAUCGAAGAACAAGCCAAACUGAGUGCUAAGAAGACCAAGCUACAGGCUAAGCUGAAAGAUUAGAGGCAUGUAGAGCAAGAUGUCAGUGCCACGAGGAAAGACCUGGAAGAAUUUGAACUUAAUGUCCAAAAGACUAACCAGGAUAAGGCUACCAAGGAUCAUCAGAUCAGGAAUAUCAAUAAUGAGAUCGCUCACCAGGAUGAAAUCAUCGACAAGCAGGAUAUGAAUCAAAAGACUGCUGAGGAUCCCCAGGCCGUCGAGGAGAAGGCCAGCCACCUCAACAAGAUCAAAGCCAAGUUGGAACAAACCCUAGACGAACUCGAGAGUUCCGUUGGACGCAAGCUUAGUGUCGAAAUUAAGAGGUCCAAGAGGAAGGUAGAGGGAAAUCUUAUAAUGACCCAAGGGUCUGUCGCAAGAAACACAUUGAUGUUGUUACUGAGAUGACUGAACAGAUCGAUCAUCUCAGCAAGGUGAAGGCCAAAAAACUUGCCGAGUAGGACCCAACCGAAUCACCACUAGAACGACUGCACCGAAGUCUUCCGUCCGUCAGUCUAGGCACACGUCUGACGUCACAAACAAAGCUUUCCCCCGGGCCCCAAGGACGAUAAGCCCCGGCAAGAAUAAAAUCUCGGCCAGUCUACCACCGAUACGCAAUGUAAAGUGGAUCCGUAAUAAAUUAU